Molecule: microRNA precursor, 59 nt
Filed under: Limulus polyphemus (Atlantic horseshoe crab)
Lineage: Eukaryota; Metazoa; Arthropoda; Merostomata; Xiphosura; Limulidae
Description: Lpo-Mir-137-P20_pre stem-loop
Source: RNAcentral
GUGUGUUCUUAAGCUAAUGACACUAGUAUUGGUUGAUGUUAUUGCUCGAGAAUACACGU